GCAGGAGACCCCUGAUGCUACUGGUGCCACGGUUUUUGGGAGCGCUUACCGUUGACCUGCAUUCUGUCCACCAUGAAGCAGAAGGUGCUGGACAUGAGAGAGGGUGAUGCAGCAUGUGUAAGUGGUAUCUCGGUUGCAGUACUUUUCAUCACUCAGAAAAAAAUUUCAGUGCCAGAAGCCUGAGAAAAUGAUGGGACUGAGAUAAGAACUGAAGAUAUGUGAAGAUUUCAGAGCUUACAAAGGAAAUGUGAUGAUUUUCUUGGCCCUGUCCUCUAAACUUUUUCCUAUUGGAAAAUUUUCACAGCCUCAACCAACUCCACAAGUGGGAGGUGUCCAGGCAUGUACAAAAAUCUUAACAUGUGAGCAACUCAUCAGAAUGUAGUGUCCACCUGAAUGCUGGGAACCAUACAGCUUGGCAAAGCAGAGCAGCACCAAAUGGGAGAAGCACACAUGAAGCAUUGUUAUUUGUGUACAUCUAACUGAAACUUUUAUUUUUAUUUAGUUUCGUAUCUAGGUCAAGUGCAAGAGAAGCAAGCCUGUCUUACCUGCAGUGUACUCCAUUAGUGUGAUCGCUGUGCCAGAAAUGACCAAUUUUUCUAUUAUAAUAUUACUCCUACAAGUUGGCUGCCAAAAAAAUGUUAAAGUUUUGCCAAAUUAUCUGCUCAUAUUUGUAUAAAAUAUAUGUUGCAUAUUAGAUUAAUAUCACUGUAUAGAGUGGAGACUGAAUGGUUUUUUGUAUGUGAUGCCAUAUGUAUUAAACAACCUUGAUCAGUAAGUUGUUGUCCUCUACAUUUAGUAAAGACAUGAAAAUA
Calidris pugnax (ruff) is the source of this 812-nucleotide long non-coding RNA. RefSeq lists it as uncharacterized. The record is from RefSeq and is a predicted model, not a curated record. The transcript is spliced from 2 exons. Lineage: Eukaryota; Metazoa; Chordata; Aves; Charadriiformes; Scolopacidae.